GGAAGGUUGGCAGAGUGACCGAAUGCGCUGGACUCGAAAUCCGGUAUACGCUUUACCGCGUAUCGGGGGUUUGAAUCCCUCACCUUCCG
This 89-nucleotide transfer RNA is filed under the name Prevotella sp. Its description in RNAcentral is "tRNA-Ser". It matches the Rfam family "tRNA". Rfam says of the family: Transfer RNA (tRNA) molecules are approximately 80 nucleotides in length. Their secondary structure includes four short double-helical elements and three loops (D, anti-codon, and T loops). The record is from RNAcentral. Lineage: Bacteria; Pseudomonadati; Bacteroidota; Bacteroidia; Bacteroidales; Prevotellaceae. RNAcentral also lists the same sequence under 1 other name.